This 436-nucleotide ribosomal RNA is filed under the name uncultured bacterium. RNAcentral's name for it is "partial 16S ribosomal RNA". It matches the Rfam family "Bacterial small subunit ribosomal RNA", at positions 341 to 792 of the family's 1533-position model. The record is from RNAcentral.
ACGGAAGGCAGCAGUGGGGAAUAUUGGGCAAUGGGCGAAAGCCUGACCCAGCAACGCCGCGUGAGGGAGAAGGUUUUCGGAUUGUAAACCUCUGUCCUUGGGGACGAAGGGAGUGACGGUACCCGAGGAGGAAGCCCCGGCUAACUACGUGCCAGCAGCCGCGGUAAUACGUAGGGGGCGAGCGUUGUCCGGAAUGACUGGGCGUAAAGGGCGCGUAGGCGGCGAUCUAAGUUAGGAGUGAAAGUCCUGCUUUCAAGGUGGGAAUAGCUUUUAAAACUGGAUAGCUUGAGUGCGGAAGAGGUAAGUGGAAUUCCCAGUGUAGCGGUGAAAUGCGUAGAGAUUGGGAAGAACACCAGUGGCGAAGGCGACUUACUGGGCCGUAACUGACGCUGAGGCGCGAAAGCGUGGGGAGCAAACAGGAUUAGAUACCCUGGUA